CCAAUAGCGUAUAUUAAAGUUGUUGCAGUUAAAAAGCUCGUAGUUGAAUUUCGGGAUCAAUAUGUUGGUCGUGCCUUGGUACGUACUUGCAUUAUUGGUUUCUCCCUUCUGAAGAACCCUGAUCUCAUUAAUUUGGUGUCUUGGGGAAUCAGGACUGUUACUUUGAGAAAAUUAGAGUGUUUAAAGCAGGCUCGCGCUUGAAUACAUUAGCAUGGAAUAAUGAAAUAGGACGUUUGAUUCUAUUUUUUUGGUUUCUAGGAUCGACGUAAUGAUUAAUAGGGAUAGUUGGGGGCAUUAGUAUUCAAUUGUCAGAGGUGAAAUUCUUGGAUUUAUUGAAGACUAACUGCUGCGAAAGCAUUUGCCAAGGAUGUUUUCAUUAAUCAAGAACGAAAGUUAGGGGAUCGAAGACGAUCAGAUACCGUCGUAGUCUUAACCAUAAACUAUGCCGACUAGGGAUCGGAUGAUGUUAAUUUUUUAAUGACUCAUUCGGCGCCUUACG
This 499-nucleotide ribosomal RNA is filed under the name uncultured Glomeromycotina. Its description in RNAcentral is "partial small subunit ribosomal RNA". It matches the Rfam family "Eukaryotic small subunit ribosomal RNA", at positions 591 to 1092 of the family's 1831-position model. Lineage: Eukaryota; Fungi; Glomeromycota. The record is from RNAcentral.